Molecule: ribosomal RNA, 433 nt
Filed under: uncultured bacterium
Lineage: Bacteria
Description: partial 16S ribosomal RNA
Rfam family: Bacterial small subunit ribosomal RNA
Source: RNAcentral
AACGAACGCUGGCGGCAGGCCUAACACAUGCAAGUCGAGCGCGCCCUUCGGGGUGAGCGGCGGACGGGUGAGUAACGCGUGGGAACGUGCCCUUUUCUACGGAAUAGCCUCGGGAAACUGAGAGUAAUACCGUAUACGCCCUUUGGGGGAAAGAUUUAUCGGAAAAGGAUCGGCCCGCGUUGGAUUAGGUAGUUGGUGGGGUAAUGGCCUACCAAGCCGACGAUCCAUAGCUGGUUUGAGAGGAUGAUCAGCCACACUGGGACUGAGACACGGCCCAGACUCCUACGGGAGGCAGCAGUGGGGAAUCUUAGCCAAUGGAGGCAACCCUGAUCUAGCCAUGCCGCGUGAGUGAUGAAGGCCUUAGGGUUGUAAAGCUCUUUCAGCUGGGAAGAUAAUGACGGUACCAGCAGAAGAAGCCCCGGCUAACUCCGUG